This 377-nucleotide ribosomal RNA is filed under the name Nostoc sp. PJ S5. RNAcentral's name for it is "bacterial SSU rRNA". It matches the Rfam family "Bacterial small subunit ribosomal RNA", at positions 398 to 790 of the family's 1533-position model. The record is from RNAcentral. Lineage: Bacteria; Bacillati; Cyanobacteriota; Cyanophyceae; Nostocales; Nostocaceae.
CGCGUGGGGGAGGGGCUCUUGGGUCGUAAACCUCUUUUCUCAGGGAAGAACAAAAUGACGGUACCUGAGGAAUAAGCAUCGGCUAACUCCGUGCCAGCAGCCGCGGUAAUACGGAGGAUGCAAGCGUUAUCCGGAAUGAUUGGGCGUAAAGCGUCCGCAGGUGGCUAUGUAAGUCUGCUGUUAAAGAAUCUAGCUCAACUAGAUACAAGCAGUGGAAACUACAAGGCUAGAGUACGUUCGGGGCAGAGGGAAUUCCUGGUGUAGCGGUGAAAUGCGUAGAGAUCAGGAAGAACACCGGUGGCGAAGGCGCUCUGCUAGGCCGUAACUGACACUGAGGGACGAAAGCUAGGGGAGCGAAUGGGAUUAAAUACACCUAG